RNAcentral lists this ribosomal RNA (488 nucleotides) under uncultured bacterium. RNAcentral's name for it is "bacterial SSU rRNA". It matches the Rfam family "Bacterial small subunit ribosomal RNA", at positions 903 to 1397 of the family's 1533-position model. The record is from RNAcentral.
AAAGGAAUAGACGGGAGCCCGCACAAGCAGUGGAGUAUGUGGUUUAAUUCGAAGCAACGCGAAGAACCUUACCAGAGCUUGACAUCCGCAGAAGUCUUGAUAAAAAAAGAUGUGCCUUCGGGAGCUGCGAGACAGGUGGUGCAUGGUUGUCGUCAGCUCGUGUCGUGAGAUGUUGGGUUAAGUCCCGCAACGAGCGCAACCCUUACGGUUAGUUGCUACGCAAGAGCACUCUAACCGGACUGCCGUUGACAAAACGGAGGAAGGUGGGGACGACGUCAAAUCAUCAUGCCCCUUACGUUCUGGGCUACACACGUACUACAAUGACGCAAAACAACGGGGAGCGAAGGCGCGAGCCGGAGCAAAUCCCAAAAAGGCGUCCCAGUUCAGAUUGCAGGCUGCAACUCGCCUGCAUGAAGUCGGAAUUGCUAGUAAUCGCGAAUCAGAAUGUCGCGGUGAAUACGUUCCCGGGCUUUGUACACACCGCCCGU